UACAGGGGGGGCAAGCGUUGUUCGGAAUUACUGGGCGUAAAGGGCCAGUAGGCGGCCAACUAAGUCCGACGUGAAAUCCCCAGGCUUAACCUGGGAACUGCGUCGGAUACUGGAUGGCUUGAAUUCGGGAGAGGGAUGCAGAAUUCCAGGUGUAGCGGUGAAAUGCGUAGAUAUCUGGAGGAAUACCGGUGGCGAAGGCGGCAUCCUGGACCGAGAUUGACGCUGAAUGGCGAAAGCUAGGGGAGCGAACAGG
Molecule: ribosomal RNA, 253 nt
Filed under: uncultured bacterium
Lineage: Bacteria
Description: partial 16S ribosomal RNA
Rfam family: Bacterial small subunit ribosomal RNA
Source: RNAcentral